AAUUAUUUAAUCAAAAAAAGAAAAUAAAGAAAAUAAAAAAGGACCCUCUUCAUGGAAGAUCAUUUCUUUUUUUUUAAAACCAACAACUUUUCAACAUUCAUCAAUAUUUUAGGACUUGUCAUACACCUUCCAUGGCAAUUUCGCAAAAAACGAAUUCCUAUUAUCAGAUUUCUAUACUAUACUUUUUUUUUUGUGGUUUUUCUUUCUAUAUUCAUGAUCUGAUGCUCCAUCCAUUGCCCCUAUAAAAAAAUUUAUUUCAUCUCCAAUCCAGGUAAGAUUUAAAUAAAUCUUUUUUUGGUAUUUAAAUUUUUCUCAGAUUUUGAAGUGCUUCAAGGAUUACAAAAGCAAGACAACGCGUUUUACCAAGUCGGACUUUGCAGAUGAUGUUGUCUAAUAACGUUUUACUAAGAUCCUAAAUCAUGAAAACCUUCUGUGGGGUCUAGGCGAAUACACAUUUUUAUGACUACUUUUUGGGUAGUUUACAUGAAUGGUGAGAGAGAUUUCUAAAAUUACAAUCACUUUUUACUUAGAACUUAAAUCAUGAUAAUCUUUUGUGGGGUCUAGAGGAAUAAAGUGAUUGAAAAACACUCAAAUAUGGUUUCUAUAGAGAGAGAUUUCUAAAACUACAGUCACUUUUUAUUGAGAGAAUAUUAUAAUGGUUCCACCCGGUAAUAAUUCGUGGGGCACAUUUUCAUGGAAUAGAGUGAGAAACACUGAUAUUUGAGAUGAAGUUUUGUGGGCCUAGAGUAACAAAAGCAUGUGUACAUACAAGCAUGUCGGCCUGGAUUUAGAAACAUCUAUGAAGUAUAUGACAAAAGCAUACGUACAUACAAGCAUGUCGGCCUGGAUUUAGAAACAUUUAUGAAAUAUAUGACAAGAAGUUGGUCUAGAGAGAGAAAUUAAGGGAGAAACAUAACUGUUUUUUCAGGAUUUGCAUAGCGUGAGACAAUUGCAUGGGAGAGGUGGCGGGAUCACAAAAAAAAGUUAUCAAUUAAAAAAUAUUAAAAAUAAAAUAGUAUCGAGGGUGACAUUGUGAUUAGGGCCAUCUAAACCGUCCAUUCAGAAUGAACGGUUGGAUAGAAGAAGUAUAGAAGUUUUAUGCUACAAGGGAAGUAUAGAAAGCUUUCUCUAGGGAAAGAUUUGUAUGCUUCCCUCACCGCAUAAAAGAUAUAUAGUCCCCCUUCCGCUAGCCGUUCAAUGUAGAUCUAGUGAGCCACUAACUACUUAAUCUACAUCUGACACUUUAUAGUAUUUUAUUUUUAAUUUUUUUCUACUAACUAUAUGAACA
Molecule: long non-coding RNA, 1288 nt
Filed under: Amborella trichopoda
Lineage: Eukaryota; Viridiplantae; Streptophyta; Magnoliopsida; Amborellales; Amborellaceae
Description: long non-coding RNA (ATRI_LNC001344)
Source: RNAcentral